CGCGGCCUAUCAGCUUGUUGGUGGGGUAACGGCCCACCAAGGCCAUGACGGGUAGCUGGUCUGAGAGGACGAUCAGCCACACUGGGACUGAGACACGGCCCAGACUCCUACGGGAGGCAGCAGCAGGGAAUUUUGCACAAUGGGCGCAAGCCUGAUGCAGCGACGCCGCGUGGGGGAUGAAGGCCUUCGGGUCGUAAACCCCUUUCAGGAGGGACGAAGCGAAAGUGACGGUACCUCCAGAAGAAGCCCCGGCCAACUACGUGCCAGCAGCCGCGGUAAUACGUAGGGGGCGAACGUUGUCCGGAUUUAUUGGGCGUAAAGAGCUCGUAGGCGGCUCAGCAAGUCGGCCGUGAAAGCCCGGGGCUCAACCCCGGGACGCCGGUCGAAACUGCUGUGGCUAGGGUCCGGUAGAGGAGAGUGGAAUUCCCGGUGUAGCGGUGAAAUGCGCAGAUAUCGGGAGGAACACCAGUAGCGAAGGCGGCUCUCUGGGCCGGUACCGACGCUGAGGAGCGAAAGCUAGGGGAGCAAACAGGAUUAGAUACCCUGGUAGUCCUAGCCGUAAACGUUGGGCACUAGGUGUGGCGGACUCAUUGACGUCUGCCGUGCCGCAGCUAACGCAUUAAGUGCCCCGCCUGGGGAGUACGG
Molecule: ribosomal RNA, 645 nt
Filed under: uncultured Actinomycetes bacterium
Lineage: Bacteria; Bacillati; Actinomycetota; Actinomycetes
Description: bacterial SSU rRNA
Rfam family: Bacterial small subunit ribosomal RNA
Source: RNAcentral